Non-coding RNA from Pelobates cultripes (western spadefoot toad), 203 nucleotides. Lineage: Eukaryota; Metazoa; Chordata; Amphibia; Anura; Pelobatidae. The record is from the annotation of a GenBank genome assembly.
CUUUACGUCAAGAUUCCUUUAUGUACUCAUCCAUGAUUUUACUUUCUUGUGGGGAUAGGGCAUAUACUGCUCCUUUAGGAGGCAUAGCCCCGAGCAACAGAUCAAUGAAACAAUCAUAAGAUCUGUGUAGAUGAAGAGCAUUAGUCUGGCUUUUACUAAACGCCUCUCUAACCUCCCAAUACUGUAUGAAUUUCGAGAGUCGG